This 406-nucleotide ribosomal RNA is filed under the name uncultured bacterium. Its description in RNAcentral is "partial 16S ribosomal RNA". It matches the Rfam family "Bacterial small subunit ribosomal RNA", at positions 29 to 526 of the family's 1533-position model. The record is from RNAcentral.
AUUGAACGCUGGCGGCAGGCCUAACACAUGCAAGUCGAACGCGUGGCGGAGGGGUGAGUUAUGUCUGGGAAACUGCCCGAGGGAGGGGGAUCACUACUGGAAACGGUAGCUAAUACCGCAAACCAUCGGAUGUGCCCAGAUGGGAUUAGCGUGUAGGGGGGGAAAGGGCUACCUUGGGCGACGAUCCCUAGCUGGUCUGAGAGGAUGACCGGCCACACUGGAACUGAGACAGGGCCCAGACUCCUACGGGAGGCAGCAGUGGGGAAUAUUGCACAAUGGGCGCAAGCCUGAUGCAGCCAGGCCGCGUGUAUGAAGAAGGCCUUCGGGUUGUAAAGUACUUUCAGCGGGGAGGCGUUACUCGCAGAAGAAGCACCGGCUAACUCCGUGCCAGCAGCCGCGGUAAUAC